Molecule: ribosomal RNA, 253 nt
Filed under: uncultured bacterium
Lineage: Bacteria
Description: partial 16S ribosomal RNA
Rfam family: Bacterial small subunit ribosomal RNA
Source: RNAcentral
UACGUAGGUGGCGAGCGUCGUCCGGAUUUAUUGGGUUUAAAGGGUGCGUAGGCGGCCCUGUAAGUCAGUGCUGAAAUAUCCCGGCUUAACUGGAAGGGUGGCAUUGAUACUGCGGGGCUAGAGUACAGAUGAGGUAGGCGGAAUUGACGGUGUAGCGGUGAAAUGCUUAGAUAUCGUCAAGAACACCUAUAGCGAAGGCAGCUUACUAGGCUGUAACCGACGCUGAGGCACGAAAGCGUGGGGAGCAAACAGG